This 467-nucleotide ribosomal RNA is filed under the name uncultured Thiobacillus sp. RNAcentral's name for it is "bacterial SSU rRNA". It matches the Rfam family "Bacterial small subunit ribosomal RNA", at positions 912 to 1382 of the family's 1533-position model. The record is from RNAcentral. Lineage: Bacteria; Pseudomonadati; Pseudomonadota; Betaproteobacteria; Nitrosomonadales; Thiobacillaceae.
AGACGGGGACCCGCACAAGCGGUGGAUGAUGUGGUUUAAUUCGAUGCAACGCGAAAACCUUUACCCACCUUUGACAUGGCAGGAAUCCCGAAGAGAUUUGGGAGUGCUCGAAAGAGAACCUGCACACAGGUGCUGCAUGGCUGUCGUCAGCUCGUGUCGUGAGAUGUUGGGUUAAGUCCCGCAACGAGCGCAACCCUUGCCAUUAGUUGCUACGCAAGGGCACUCUAAUGAGACUGCCGGUGACAAACCGGAGGAAGGUGGGGAUGACGUCAAGUCCUCAUGGCCCUUAUGGGUAGGGCUUCACACGUCAUACAAUGGUCGGUACAGAGGGUUGCCAAGCCGCGAGGCGGAGCCAAUCCCACAAAGCCGAUCGUAGUCCGGAUUGUUCUCUGCAACUCGAGAGCAUGAAGUCGGAAUCGCUAGUAAUCGUGGAUCAGCAUGUCACGGUGAAUACGUUCCCGGGUCUU